GACGAACGCUGGCGGCGUGCUUAACACAUGCAAGUCGAACGGAAAGGCCCUGCUUUUGUGGGGUGCUCGAGUGGCGAACGGGUGAGUAACACGUGAGUAACCUGCCCUUGACUUUGGGAUAACUUCAGGAAACUGGGGCUAAUACCGGAUAGGAGCUCCUGCUGCAUGGUGGGGGUUGGAAAGUUUCGGCGGUUGGGGAUGGACUCGCGGGUUAUCAGCUUGUUGGUGGGGUAGUGGCUUACCAAGGCUUUGAGGGGUAGCCGGCCUGAGAGGGUGACCGGCCACAUUGGGACUGAGAUACGGCCCAGACUCCUACGGGAGGCAGCAGUGGGGAAUCUUGCACAAUGGGCGGAAGCCUGAUGCAGCAACGCCGCGUGCGGGAUGACGGCCUUCGGGUUGUAAACCGCUUUCGCCUGUGACGAAGCGUGAGUGACGGUAAUGGGUAAAGAAGCACCGGCUAACUACGUG
Molecule: ribosomal RNA, 468 nt
Filed under: uncultured bacterium
Lineage: Bacteria
Description: partial 16S ribosomal RNA
Rfam family: Bacterial small subunit ribosomal RNA
Source: RNAcentral